Long non-coding RNA from Oncorhynchus tshawytscha (Chinook salmon), 2145 nucleotides. NCBI's taxonomy places the organism in Eukaryota, Metazoa, Chordata, Actinopteri, Salmoniformes, Salmonidae. The record is from Ensembl.
UGAUAAACCUGAAAUUUAUUUUACCACAAAACUCUGCACUUCACAAGAGUAUUCCUGGCAUACGAGACAAGAAUUCAACGGUGUGGUUUUACAUUCACAAGACUGGAGGUUUGGACGAUAUCUUCUCCUGACGGACACAUCAUCAGACCAAUCACAUUCAGUAUAUGAUCAUUCAGUUGUUCCUGUCGGCUAGGUUAUCAUUCGGCUGUAUCCUAUAGCUUUAAAAGAGUCGUACACGUAAAUCGUGUCUCCAUCUGUCACCAAGUGACUUAAUAAUAUGUUCAACCAAACAUCCAAACACAAAGAUACAAAUACAAAAGUAUUUUCACGUUGUUUUUGGGUCACAAAAUGACAAAGGAACUCUAAUUUGAUCAAAUAUUGAACAAAAAAAGCGAUCACAAAUGAGGGAAAUGUGGUUUACAGGGUUGUGCUUGGUAAGACUCUGGAGAGACACUUCAAUGACACCAAAUAGACAACAACAUAUGCACCACUUACACAUUUUACGAAUCAUUUUACGAAUCAUUUUACGAAUCAUGUCUUUGUCAGUCAUCAAAUCAAAUCAAAUUCUAUUUUAUUUGUCACAUACACACAUUUUUAUCAGAUAUGAUUACAGGUUUAGCGAAACCAGAAACACCUGUGGAAUGCUGUAGGAUUAAACACUCAAAUUGAUCUAACAGGUGGUAUCAGUCUCGAGGAACAGGAGAGAUACAUAAACAUGACCAGUAUACCUACUGCCAGUCACACAUAUAUAUAUAUAUAUUCCCAUUACCAGUUACUGUUCAGUCCUGUUUACAUGUAUAUCCUACUGCCAGUCACAUAUAUAUAUAUAUAUAUAUAUAUUCCCAUUACCAGUCACAUAUAUAUAUUCCCAUUACCAGUCACUUUACAUAUAUAAACCCACAUCGACCACUCUAGUACCCCUGCAUGUUGAAUAAGGGCACUGACCUGUAUAUACUUGCCUUCUCCUGUUCAUUUAACUCUCACCGUAGUUCUUGUGGGUUUUUAAUUUUCCAUUAUUAUUUAUAUUAUCUAUAUUAUUAUUAUUAUUAUCUAUAUUAUUAUUAUUAUGAUGAUGAUGAUUAUUAUUGUUAUUAUCAUCGUCGUCAUCAUCACUGCAUUGUUGGAAAAGAGCUGUCAAUGUAAUUUCACUGUGCUGGUUUACACCUGUUGUAUUCUGUGCAGUUUAGGUCCCACUUGUUGAAUAAUGGGUAAAAAAAAAUCACAUGGGUUUGCGCAUAAACCAGAAACACGUGUGAAUGCGAUAGGAUUAAACACUCAAAUUGAUUUAACAUGUUAAAAACAACACAAGCAACACUAAUAUGGGAUUUUCCAUAGAGACCUUUUGCUCUAUGGCCUUAUUCUAUAUACUGAUCAUUUCCUUUCAGGGAGGAAAGUAAAGGGUCAUCGCAGACAAGACGAGAGAAUAGGGAAUAGAGAGGAGAAGGAUUCCAUAACCCCAGUCAAGGACUGGAAGACAGACGGAAUAUAAAAUAAUUGAUUCCAAAAGCUAGUCAAUGAAGCAGCCUUUAAUGAUUGUGUGUUGGACUGUGGACAGGAGCCAUGUGGUGAGAGUCAGAGGGGAGCUAGUGAAUAAAUAGACAGAGAGAGAGAGAGAGAGAGACAGAGAGAGAGAGAGAGAGACAGAGAGAGAGAGAGACAGAGAGAGAGAGAGACAGAGGGAGAGACAGAGGGAGAGAGAGAGACAGAGAGAGAGAGAGAGAGAGAGAGAGAGAGAGACAGAGGGAGAGAGAGAGACAGAGGGAGAGAGAGAGAGAGAGAGAGAGAGAGAGAGAGAGGGAGAGACAGAGGGAGAGACAGAGAGAGAGAGAGAGAGAGACAGAGGGAGAGAGAGAGACAGAGAGAGAGAGAGAGAGAGAGAGAGAGAGAGAGAGAGAGAGAGAGAGAGAGGGAGAGAGAGAGAUAGAGAGAGAGAGAGAGAGAGAGAGAGAGAGACAGAGAGAGAGAGAGACAGACAGAGAGAGAGAGAGAGAGAGAGAGAGAGAGAGAGAGAGAGAGAGAGAGAGAGAGAGAGACAGAGAGAGAGAGAGAGAGACAGAGAGAGAGAGACAGAGAGAGAGAGAGAGAGAGACAGAGAGAGAGAGAGAGACAGAGAGAGAGAGAGACAGAGAGAGAGAGAGAGACAGA